CAGUAGCCGCGGGAAUACGAAGGGGGCUAGCGUUGCUCGGAAUUACUGGGCGUAAAGGGUGCGUAGGCGGAUGUUUAAGUCAGAGGUGAAAGCCCAGGGCUCAACCUUGGAACUGCCUUUGAUACUGGACAUCUUGAGUGUGGGAGAGGUAAGCGGAACUCCGAGUGUAGAGGUGAAAUUCGUAGAUAUUCGGAAGAACACCAGUGGCGAAGGCGGCUUACUGGCCCAUUACUGACGCUGAGGCUCGAAAGCGUGGGGAGCAAACAGGAUUAGAUACCCCUGUAGUCCCUGUCUCUUAUAC
This 301-nucleotide ribosomal RNA is filed under the name uncultured bacterium. RNAcentral describes it as "partial 16S ribosomal RNA". It matches the Rfam family "Bacterial small subunit ribosomal RNA", at positions 509 to 807 of the family's 1533-position model. The record is from RNAcentral.